This 205-nucleotide unclassified non-coding RNA is filed under the name uncultured fungus. RNAcentral describes it as "sequence contains ITS1". The record is from RNAcentral. Lineage: Eukaryota; Fungi.
GUAUUUCGUUUUGCCAUACGGCAGACAAACAUUCGAUAAUUUAACACAAGAGUUUAUGAAUUUCGAAAGCAGGUUUAAUACUGCCUUCAAAUCUAAGUGCACAGGUGUAAAUUGGACUAGGAGAGCGAGCACAUGCAGUCAAAACUGCCAGCAUCAACUCCCUGUAAAUUCACUAAUGAUCCUUCCGCAGGUUCACCUACGGAAA